Molecule: ribosomal RNA, 754 nt
Filed under: uncultured archaeon
Lineage: Archaea
Description: bacterial SSU rRNA
Rfam family: Archaeal small subunit ribosomal RNA
Source: RNAcentral
AGUCAACAUGCCCAGGGGACGUGGAUAACCUCGGGAAACUGAGGAUAAACCGCGAUAGGCCAUGAUUUCUGGAAUGGUUCAUGGCCGAAAUCUAUAUGGCCCCUGGAUUGGACUGCGGCCGAUCAGGCUGUUGGUGAGGUAAUGGCCCACCAAACCUGUAACCGGUACGGGCUCUGAGAGGAGGAGCCCGGAGAUGGGCACUGAGACAAGGGCCCAGGCCCUAUGGGGCGCAGCAGGCGCGAAAUCUCUGCAAUAGGCGAAAGCUUGACAGGGUUACUCUGAGUGAUUCCCGCUAAGGGGAUCUUUUGGCACCUUUAAAAAUGGUGCAGAAUAAGGGGUGGGCAAGUCUGGUGUCAGCCGCCGCGGUAAUACCAGCACCCCGAGUGGUCGGGACGAUUAUUGGGCCUAAAGCAUCCGUAGCCGGUACUGCAAGUCUUCCGUUAAAUCCACCUGCUCAACAGUUGGGCUGCGGGGGAUACUACAGCGCUAGGAGGCGGGAGAGGCAAGCGGUACUCAAUGGGUAGGGGUAAAAUCCGCUGAUCCAUUGAAGACCACCAGUGGCGAAGGCGGCUUGCCAGAACGCGCUCGACGGUGAGGGAUGAAAGCUGGGGGAGCAAACCGGAUUAGAUACCCGGGUAGUCCCAGCCGUAAACGAUGCAGACUCGGUGAUGGGCUGGCCUUGUGCCAACCCAGUGCCGCAGGGAAGCCGUUAAGUCUGCCGCCUGGGGAGUACGGUCGCAAGACUGAAACUUAA